This 523-nucleotide ribosomal RNA is filed under the name Priestia flexa. RNAcentral describes it as "bacterial SSU rRNA". It matches the Rfam family "Bacterial small subunit ribosomal RNA", at positions 614 to 1135 of the family's 1533-position model. Lineage: Bacteria; Bacillati; Bacillota; Bacilli; Caryophanales; Bacillaceae. The record is from RNAcentral.
CGGGGAGGGUCUUUGGAAACUGGAGAACUUGAGUGCAAAAAAGAAAAGCGGAUUUCCUCGUGUAGCGGUGAAAUGCGAAAAGAUGUGGAGGACCCCCAGUGGCGAAGGCGGUUUUUUGGUCUGUAACUGACGCUGAGGCGCGAAAGCGUGGGGAGCAAACAGGAUUAAAUACCCUGGUAGUCCACGCCGUAAACGAUGAGUGCUAAGUGUUAGAGGGUUUCCGCCCUUUAGUGCUGCAGCUAACGCAUUAAGCACUCCGCCUGGGGAGUACGGUCGCAAGACUGAAACUCAAAGGAAUUGACGGGGGCCCGCACAAGCGGUGGAGCAUGUGGUUUAAUUCGAAGCUACGCGAAGAACCUUACCAGGUCUUGACAUCCGCGGAGGACUCUAGAGAUAGAGCGUUCCCCUUCGGGGGACAGAGUGACAGGUGGUGCAUGGUUGUCGCCAGCUCGUGUCGUGAGAUGUUGGGUUAAGUCCCGCAACGAGCGCCACCCUUGAUCUUAGUUGCCAGCAUUUAGUUGGG